RNAcentral lists this ribosomal RNA (637 nucleotides) under uncultured soil bacterium. RNAcentral's name for it is "bacterial SSU rRNA". It matches the Rfam family "Bacterial small subunit ribosomal RNA", at positions 8 to 665 of the family's 1533-position model. The record is from RNAcentral.
AGAGUUUGAUCCUGGCUCAGGACGAACGCUUGCGGCGUGCCUAAGAAAUGCAAGUCGAGCGGGGAUAGCAAUAUCCUAGCGGCGAACGGUCGCGUAACACGUAAGCAACCUGCCCCGAAGACCGGGACAACAUCUCGAAAGGGGUGCUAAUACCGGAUGUGGCCGUCUGGGGACAUCCUCGGGCGAUUAAAUCCAGCAAUGGGCUUCGGGAGGGGCUUGCGUCCUAUCAGCUAGUUGGUGGGGUAACGGCCUACCAAGGCGACGACGGGUAGCUGGUCUGAGAGGACGAUCAGCCGGACUGGGACUGAGAUACGGCCCAGACUCCUACGGGGGGCAGCAAUUAGGAAUCUUGCACAAUGGGCGAAAGCCUGAUGCAGCGACGCCGCGUGAGGGAGGAAGUCCUUCGGGAUGUAAACCUCUUUUAUCAGGGAAGAAAAAAAUGACGGUACCUGGUGAAUAAGCUCCGGCUAACUACGUGCCAGCAGCCGCGGUAAUACGUAGGGAGCGAGCGUUGUCCGAAGUUACUGGGCGUAAAGCGCGCGUAGGCGGGUUUGAAAGUCGGAGGUGAAAGGCAGGGGCUCAACCCCAUGCAGUGCCUCCGAUACUUCAAGUCUUGAGUGCGGUAGGGAGAAGUGGA